Molecule: long non-coding RNA, 207 nt
Filed under: Elaeis guineensis (African oil palm)
Lineage: Eukaryota; Viridiplantae; Streptophyta; Magnoliopsida; Arecales; Arecaceae
Description: long non-coding RNA (EGUI_LNC034800)
Source: RNAcentral
ACUAUUUAGAUUCUACGUAGUGACAGAUCAUGGUAAGAACUUCAAACUUUAUUUAUUAAUUAAGUUAUUAAAGGAUCUAAUUUUUAUAUUAAAACUAAUAUAUUUCUGAACUGUGCAGAUGCAUUACACGGCAUACAAUUUUGAGAGGCACGGCGAUGACCCAUCUUUUCAGCCCCUCUUGACCUUGAGGGAUGGCUCAGCACCACC